GUGACAGGAUAUUUUGUACCUGCUUCGGACUGGUUCUGUCAUUAACCUACUGAGCUGGUGCUUCUGUCCCAGGUAAAAUGUGUUUGAACUUACAUUUGCAUCUAUACAUGAAGUAGGCAGCCUAGAGCAGGAGGCGGGCGUCAGAUCAGAGGGUUGCAGGCAUCUCCAUCGCAUCGCUCCUAGGCAUCUGAAAGUGUACCGUUGCGCACAGAUCAUGCUGGUAACGAGUUAUUCAAAGGGUCUACCAAUCAUGGCAAAAACAGAAAUCCAGCUCCUCAGCCCAGGCAGUGCCAACAACCCAGCUGAUCCAGGAGCUGCAGCGAGGGGUAGUGAUGACACUCCGGGCACCCCGACUGCCCUCUUCAACCAUUCCCAUGGAAUUCAUCCUGUCCAGCCUCCGUCAGAUAAUCCAGCCCUCCCCCUCCUACUUCCAGAGACUAAUUUGCAGAUUCUAAUGGGUAUGUGCUAAGGAGAUGAUGAGUGAACACGCUGCCAGUUUGGUUGCAGUGUGUCACCGAAUUCCGUAGAUUCAUCAUCACUAUGUGGGGUGGAAGCUGCACAGACUACAACAAGGCUUCUGGGACCCCACUCCCCUCAAGCAAGACAUUUACCACCUGCUUCACCUAUGAAGGACUGAUUAUUGGCAGUGAUGUAUACCACAACGCAUACAAGCUGUUCAGCCUGCUGCCCUCCGGGUAGAGGUACAGGAGUAUCUGCUUCCGCAACUCCAGACUCGCCAACAUCUUCAUCUACCAGACUGUCAUGCCGAAUCGUCCCUCCUCUCUCCCAUCCCAGGAUGCCGAAUUAUGACCAAGUGACUGAAGAACUGCCAUACGUCUUCACUUGGUCAUGGCAUGACCAGAGGCUGUAUGCAGACUCACAGUAUAAUUCUACACGAUCCACUAUAAGUCAUAUUUUAUUUCAGGUGGUUUUAAUAGCUGUGAUACAUUAAUGAUGCCUGCCAACGAUUCUGAAUUGUGUACAGUCUGUAAUAUUUCUUCUUCAAGGGACCAGUCAAGUCGAUGUGACAGGUGAUUUUUAUACAAAACUUUGUCAAAGUUUACGUAAUUGACACAUCUGGUUGGUCCUUGUUUUGAAUUCUGAAUUGUCAAUAUACUAUAUGCCUUUAUCAGGUUUGAGCUUGGAGUUGAGUAUAUGUUAAAUUAAUAGAAUGUGUUUUUUGCUAGUCUUCACAUUAAACUUAGACCGAACUGCCUUUACCUUUGGAUCGUCUGCAGUUCCCUGUUGGCCCACUACCAUCUGCCCCGCAUGGUGCGCGACACCAGACACUGGAGCAGCUGAGUCGCCACUCAUCAACGCAGAGUGAAACAGUGCUUUGACCGCUCCCACAGGGUUAAAAGACCCACACUUGCUCCACUGGACUGAUUGAGGAUCCGCAGGCCUACCCGGGGCCACAAGCUCAAGUCCUUCUGUUCUGCCCCACUGCAAGUGACUGAGCAGCUGGGUCCCGCCAUUUUCCGCCGUGUUCGCAAGGUGCCGCCGCCUACUGCAACAGACCUGGAGGCGACCGGCCCGUACAAGGGCCCAUCCAGGCCAUCUCAGGGACUAUGUACUCUGACAAUAUGAAUGAUGUCCCUGGGUCUCCCCUGGGGAGGGGGGAAAUGUUAUGUCUGCUCUGUUGCCUGUGCUGAUAUUUCAUAUUUCCUAAUGCUACUUGAAGACGACAUAAUAACAUUUGUGCAGGGCAUGCUGGGAUGCGAGUUCAGUGAAAUAAACGUCUGGUAUGGCUAGACUUUGACA
This is a long non-coding RNA of Engraulis encrasicolus (European anchovy), 1761 nucleotides long. RefSeq lists it as uncharacterized. The transcript has 6 exons. Lineage: Eukaryota; Metazoa; Chordata; Actinopteri; Clupeiformes; Engraulidae. The record is from RefSeq and is a predicted model, not a curated record.